GAAUUUUGGGCAAUGGGCGAAAGCCUGACCCAGCGACGCCGCGUGAGGGAUGAAGGCCUUCGGGUCGUAAACCUCUGUCGGAAGGGGCGAAAGGUUCUUGGGCGAAUAGGCCAAGGGCUUGACGGUACCUUCAAAGGAAGCGCCGGAUAACUCCGUGCCAGCAGCCGCGGUAAUACGGAGGGCGCAAGCGUUGUUCGGAAUUACUGGGCGUAAAGCGCAUGUAGGCGGCCUGGCAAGUCGGGUGUGAAAUCCCGGAGCUCAACUCCGGAACUGCAUCCGAUACUGCCAGGCUCGAGUCUCGGAGAGGAUGGCGGAAUUUCCGGUGUAGAGGUGAAAUUCGUAGAUAUCGGAAGGAACACCAGUGGCGAAGGCGGCCGUCUGGACGAUGACUGACGCUGAGAUGCGAAAGCGUGGGGAGCAAACAGG
This 426-nucleotide ribosomal RNA is filed under the name uncultured bacterium. Its description in RNAcentral is "bacterial SSU rRNA". It matches the Rfam family "Bacterial small subunit ribosomal RNA", at positions 359 to 776 of the family's 1533-position model. The record is from RNAcentral.